Molecule: ribosomal RNA, 492 nt
Filed under: uncultured bacterium
Lineage: Bacteria
Description: partial 16S ribosomal RNA
Rfam family: Bacterial small subunit ribosomal RNA
Source: RNAcentral
AGUGAACGCUGGCGGUAGGCCUAACACAUGCGAGUCGAACGGCAGCACAGUAAGAGCUUGCUCUUACGGGUGGCGAGUGGCGGACGGGUGAGGGAUACAUCGGAAGCUACUUUUUCGUGGGGGAUAACGUAGGGAAACUUACGCUAAUACCGCAUACGACCUACGGGUGAAAGCAGGGGAUCUUCGGACCUUGCGCGAUUGAAUGAGCCGAUGUCGGAUUAGCUAGUUGGCGGGGUAAAGGCCCACCAAGGCGACGAUCCGUAGCUGGUCUGAGAGGAUGAUCAGCCACACUGGAACUGAGACACGGUCCAGACUCCUACGGGAGGCAGCAGUGGGGAAUAUUGGACAAUGGGCGCAAGCCUGAUCCAGCCAUACCGCGUGGGUGAAGAAGGCCUUCGGGUUGUAAAGCCCUUUUGUUGGGAAAGAAAAGCAGCAGGUUAAUACCCCGCUGUUCUGACGGUACCCAAAGAAUAAGCACCGGCUAACUUCGUG